Molecule: ribosomal RNA, 437 nt
Filed under: uncultured bacterium
Lineage: Bacteria
Description: bacterial SSU rRNA
Rfam family: Bacterial small subunit ribosomal RNA
Source: RNAcentral
UACGGGAGGCAGCAGUGGGGAAUAUUGCACAAUGGGCGCAAGCCUGAUGCAGCCAUGCCGCGUGUAUGAAGAAGGCCUUCGGGUUGUAAAGUACUUUCAGUCGUGAGGAAGGUGUUAAGGUUAAUAACCUUAGCAAUUGACGUUAGCGACAGAAGAAGCACCGGCUAACUCCGUGCCAGCAGCCGCGGUAAUACGGAGGGUGCGAGCGUUAAUCGGAAUUACUGGGCGUAAAGGGCACGCAGGCGGUUAAUUAAGUUGGAUGUGAAAUCCCCGGGCUUAACCUGGGAAUGGCAUUCAAGCUGGUUAGCUAGAGUCUUGUAGAGGGGGUAGAAUUCCAUGUGUAGCGGUGAAAUGCGUAGAGAUGUGGAGGAAUACCGGUGGCGAAGGCGGCCCCUGGACAAAGACUGACGCUCAUGUGCGAAAGCGUGGGGAGCAAA